AGUGAACGCUGGCGGUAGGCCUAACACAUGCAAGUCGAACGGCAGCACAGUAAGAGCUUGCUCUUACGGGUGGCGGGUGGCGGACGGGUGAGGAAUACAUCGGAAUCUACUUUUUCGUGGGGGAUAACGUAGGGAAACUUACGCUAAUACAGCAUACGACCUACGGGUGAAAGCAGGGGAUCUUCGGACCUUGCGCGAUUGAAUGAGCCGAUGUCGGAUUAGCUAGUUGGCGGGGUAAAGGCCCACCAAGGCGACGAUCCGUAGCUGGUCUGAGAGGAUGGUCAGCCACACUGGAACUGAGACACGGUCCAGACUCCUACGGGAGGCAGCAGUGGGGAAUAUUGGACAAUGGGCGCAAGCCUGAUCCAGCCAUACCGCGUGGGUGAAGAAGGCCUUCGGGUUGUAAAGCCCUUUUGUUGGGAAAGAAAAGCAGUAGGUUAAUACCCCGCUGUUCUGACGGUACCCAAAGAAUAAGCACCGGCUAACUUCGUG
Molecule: ribosomal RNA, 492 nt
Filed under: uncultured bacterium
Lineage: Bacteria
Description: partial 16S ribosomal RNA
Rfam family: Bacterial small subunit ribosomal RNA
Source: RNAcentral